This is a long non-coding RNA of Daktulosphaira vitifoliae (grape phylloxera), 1145 nucleotides long. RefSeq lists it as uncharacterized. The record is from RefSeq and is a predicted model, not a curated record. The transcript is spliced from 5 exons. NCBI's taxonomy places the organism in Eukaryota, Metazoa, Arthropoda, Insecta, Hemiptera, Phylloxeridae.
UUAUAAAUACGGAAAAUCGUUUCGGGCGACCUUUAAACUAGCAACUUAAUUUAGUCGGCGGCAACACUUACGCAGUAGCUAAUCUACUAUAAAUAAAAAUAUAUUGAACCAUUUUACGAUUGUCUUUGUUUAUCAUGUACGUCUACCGUGUUUAUUAUGUACGUUAUUUUUGAACGUUACAUUUUUAUGUGUUAUCAACGAGGAUUACUCGUGAUGAACGAACAUCGGAUAACGAUACAGGUAUGUAUGGAAAAAUAUAUCAACAUGACUAAAUUGUUUCAUAAACCGUAUUAUAGACAAUUCAUAAUGAAUCGCCAUUAAAAUGAUUUAAUAAAGUCAUUAUCAUGGCUAUAUUCUAAUUGAAUUACUAUAAGCAUUUUGAAAAACAAUAUAAUUAACUUCAAAUUUAUGGUAAAAGUUCGAAAAUAAACUUAUUAGAUGUAAAAAUUGGAUAAACGUUUUGGUAAAUUAAAUGGUGUAUUAGAAAUAAGAGCAUUAAUUUUUUUUAGCCGAAAAUUUUUAACUGGAUAAUUUAAUGCAAUUUUUUAUUUAGCCAUUGUAUUAAUCUUUUGAAAUAGAUAUUUAUUAAUAUUUUUUUUAAUAUGGAACAUGGAAACCACCCAAUGGUGACGAAUCAUCAAACAAACACGGGCAUGGAUCCAUUGAAAAAACCAAAUCGACCUCCUGCUGCAAAGACCGCUGGUUCUGACCUCCUCAUCAAAAUGUGUGCGAUUCCAAUCCGCCGAUCUCCCGCGCCGUGACAGUGUACAAUAGUUAGCAUACGACGGAUGCGGUUGUGUGGCAUACUAAUUCCAUUUACCGGCCCGUCGCCGGCUGCGUCAGUAUAGUUACUGGUAAAGUUAGUAAGUAAAGUGGUUGGAUGUAAUUGGGUGUCAUAUGAUUUGCAUAUAGAUUACGUAGAUAAUCGUGUAAAGUGGAAAAUUUAGGAUAUCGGUCGCUGACCCCAAGUAGUAGAAAUUAAGAAGACACAAUCUCAAAACUCAAUACUCAAUACUCAAAACACAGCCAAAAGUUUUGUUUAUUCCAUACAUGCUAAGUAAAGAAACAUAAUCAUAAGUUUCAUCUUAUAGGAGUUGCAACAUUCUAACUUUUUCAGGAGAGUAGGCCAAGAUUUUUAAAGAAGA